CUCAACUCGGGGCAGCAGCAGGAGCUCUGACUGCCCUUGGGUCCUGUCCCCAUGCAGCAGCGGCAGCAGCUCUUCACUGCCCAUGGGUCCUGUCCCCAUGCUAUUCCAUACUAUUCUCUAAAUAAAAAAGCACUACUGCCAGUCCUUGAGAGUCCAAGAAAUCUUUCUUUCGACUCUUCGGCUCGCCAUCCCCGCAUCAUGACCACCAGCCCCUUUACAAGUCUGAUCAUUCUCCUCUGAACACACUCCAGGAUGUGGAUAUUCCUCGUAAACUGCAAUAACCAGAAUUGAACUCAGCACUCCAUGUGAGAUCUAUCAGGAAGGACAAACCUGUCCUGAGAUGGCCUUAGCUGCAGAGAGAUGCCUUGCUCAAAAGCGUGACCUACCUGGGGUACUCACAUCCAUUGACUGAUCACGGCGGGGCGAUAAAGACCUGACAUUUUUGGCUCACUAGGGGGCAACUCCAGUGGGCCAUAUUGGCUCUGGAGCUCCCUGUGAGUUGCGCUGAGGCCUUCAGACCUGCAUCACAGCUCAACUUAUCCCUCUGUUCAAUUGCUUCCUCCUCCUUGCUUCCACAGGUGUUGAUACCUAAUAAAUAUACUGCAUGUCA
Molecule: long non-coding RNA, 610 nt
Filed under: Equus caballus (horse)
Lineage: Eukaryota; Metazoa; Chordata; Mammalia; Perissodactyla; Equidae
Description: lncRNA (ENSECAG00000052207.1)
Source: RNAcentral